This is a non-coding RNA of Halocaridina rubra (Hawaiian volcano shrimp), 75 nucleotides long. The record is from the annotation of a GenBank genome assembly. Lineage: Eukaryota; Metazoa; Arthropoda; Malacostraca; Decapoda; Atyidae.
GCCGACUUUAUGGCGCAGUGGUAGCGUUUUAGGCUGGUAAUAUAAUGGCCGCAUAUUCGAUCCCGGCCUGCGGUU